RNAcentral lists this ribosomal RNA (433 nucleotides) under uncultured bacterium. Its description in RNAcentral is "partial 16S ribosomal RNA". It matches the Rfam family "Bacterial small subunit ribosomal RNA", at positions 29 to 507 of the family's 1533-position model. The record is from RNAcentral.
AACGAACGCUGGCGGCAUGCCUAACACAUGCAAGUCGAACGAGACCUCCGGGUAUAGUGGCGCACGGGUGCGUAACGCGUGGGAACCUGCCCUUAGGUUCGGAAUAACUCCCCGAAAGGGGUGCUAAUACCGGAUAAUGUCUUCGGACCAAAGAUUUAUCGCCUUUGGAUGGGCCCGCGUUGGAUUAGCUUGUUGGUAGGGUAAAAGACUACCAAGGCGACGAUCCAUAGCUGGUCUGAGAGGAUGAUCAGCCACACUGGGACUGAGACACGGCCCAGACUCCUACGGGAGGCAGCAGUGGGGAAUAUUGGAAAAUGGGCGAAAGCCUGAUCCAGCAAUGCCGCGUGAGUGAUGAAGGCAUUAGGGUUGUAAAGCUCUUUUAACCGGGAUGAUAAUGACAGUACCGGGAGAAUAAGCCCCGGCUAACUCCGUG